Molecule: ribosomal RNA, 265 nt
Filed under: candidate division WWE3 bacterium
Lineage: Bacteria; candidate division WWE3
Description: partial 16S ribosomal RNA
Rfam family: Bacterial small subunit ribosomal RNA
Source: RNAcentral
UCCUUUAAGAAUUUGAUCCUGGUUCACGAUAAAUGCUAGCGGAGUGCUUAAGACAUGCAAGUCGAACGGAACACACAUUGUAAAGCUUGCUUUACGCCGUGUGUUUAGUGGCGAACGGCUGAGUAACACGUAGGAAUCAACCCCUAACUCGGGAAUAGCCCGGCGAAAGCUGGAGUAAUACCCGAUGUGGAGGAAACUCUAAAGAUUCAUCGGUUAGGGACGAGCCUGCGGCCUAUCAGGUUGUUGGUGGGGUAAAAGCCUACCA